AGGAGAGCAUCGUGGAGGAUGGCGCGUCUCCCACAGGCGCCGCCGGAAGCAUCGCCCUCGAAGUCCUAGACGAAGUCGGAGACGCCCUCGGCUCUCGAGGGGAUGCCCUACGCAGGAUGGAGGACCUGCUCAAGGCCUCCAGGGGCGCCUACGGCAGAUGAGAAUGCCUUAAUGUGACUGAGGUAUGUGCGGCGUGGAAUGGAUGCUUCGGGAAUAACCGUCCUCGAGUGCGUGGUUGUCAACAGAUAUACAUAUUUUGUAAUAAUAAACUCAUAAAUAAAGACUGAUAAAAAUAUAAAAA
RNAcentral lists this long non-coding RNA (301 nucleotides) under Penaeus japonicus. RNAcentral describes it as "uncharacterized LOC122262245". Lineage: Eukaryota; Metazoa; Arthropoda; Malacostraca; Decapoda; Penaeidae. The record is from RNAcentral.